UUUCAGUGACUUCAUUAGGCCUCCCUGAAAUAACUCUUGUAUCCUGGAAAGCCUUAGCUUCUUCUGUGAUGUCACAAGUGUCCUGACUGCAACCGCCUCUCAGAUAUCCCUUGAGGACCUCUAGGGUUCACUAAUUGGCCUUUAAUAUAUUGUAUACAGCCAUUUGAGAGGGAGAACACAGAGGAUGAAGUGAUCAGACAUGGGGAAUAUGAAGCUGGCCUUCUGUCUUGGGUAUGGACUGAAGAAACUGAAGGGGAGGGCAGCCUCUAUAGGAAGACCAACAGUCUCGAAUCAUCCCCACCCCUGAGAUCUCCCAGACACUAAGCCACCAACCAGGGUAUCUUUGAACUUGGGACAUCUUGCCACAUUCUAGGUGCUGAGACUACAUUCAGGCAAUUUCCAGCUUUCUUUCCUUUAUCUUAGUAAGAUGUGUUAGAUCAAAUAUGUUAAUAUUAUGCAGUAAAUCCUCCAUAUGUUUAUUUAUAGAACCUUGGCUCAGUGUCUGUUUCACUCCUCUGCAAUGACUAUAUUAAUUUUAGAGUUCACAGUUCUCUCUUUCUUUACACAAUUGAUCAGAUGUGUUUUUCUUUCAUAUAGAAUGAAUAAGAGCCUUUUAGUUUUUCUUUGAAUAGUUAAUGUACUAAGAAAAUGUGUUGAAAUUCCCAUUU
Molecule: non-coding RNA, 668 nt
Organism: Rattus norvegicus (Norway rat)
Lineage: Eukaryota; Metazoa; Chordata; Mammalia; Rodentia; Muridae
Source: RefSeq, a predicted model, not a curated record